This is a long non-coding RNA of Gasterosteus aculeatus aculeatus (three-spined stickleback), 1807 nucleotides long. The record is from Ensembl. Lineage: Eukaryota; Metazoa; Chordata; Actinopteri; Perciformes; Gasterosteidae.
AGAAUAUGUACUCCACCAAAAAAAUAGUAAGUAAUUCCAUCCAUCCAUCUUCAAACCACUUAUGGUGCACACAGGGUCGUUGGGGGCUGCAAUCAAUCCCAGCCAAUUUUGGGCGAGAGACAGGGUACACCCUGGAUUGGUUGCCAGCCAAUUGCAGGGCUACACAGAGACCAACUAACAUUCAAACUCACAUCCACACACCUACGGGCAAUUUAGAGCCACCAAUUAACCUGAUCCCCAGAGCAUGUCUUUAGACUGUGGGAGGAAGCCAGAGGACCCGGAGAGAACCCACGCCGACAGGGGGAGAAUAUGCAGACUGCACAGAGAAAGGCCACAGGGAGAAGUCGAACUCAGGACAUUCUUGCUGUGAGGCGACAGUGCUAACCAUGACCCCACUGUGCAGCCCGUAUGGCAUUCCAAUAUAUUUAAAGGCUUUGCUUCGAAUUCAGCAUUCUGCAAAUGUGCUUCUUCCCCUUUCUGAGAGACAUCAAUUUCAGAUUGCAAAUUUACAUUUACACGCACGUGGCUUCAGCAGACGUCUCUAUUGGACAUAAUAAAUGUUUACACUCUUUACAUUGAUGUUUUUACCAAGGAUAUCUCAAAUAAUCUAAAUGGUGAUACUGCAAGACAAGUUCAUCUUUGUUGGGAUGAGGUCAGCCUGUGAGAUUAUAACUCAAUGAUUUGAAUAAUAAAUAAUCUUUUUCAAUGUGUAGCCAGUGAGAAAAUGUCCUUCCUGAGCUACUGUAGGUUCAGGCAGGCCUUGGUACCUCCUACUUCCUGGUUCACCCAUUAGAAAGGGUAUAAAGCUGCCCAUAAUGAAGCUGCUUUUGGCAUGCUUGUCCCUUUCUGUGUUGGAGAGUGGCUGGAGAAGCCAGUGAGCUGGUAGGUGUUUUCAUUCUCAGUUCUUAUUAAAAUGGUUUGGCCAUUGGUGAUCUUUCUGUUUGUGUCUCCCAGCUCGUCAGGGAGGCCCAAACCAUGUGUGAGCCAUACCAGGUGGAGGAGCCUCAAAGUAACUCCAGGCUGGCAUUAGAAGCCAUUGCUGUUUUGUGUUGCUUGUUCAGUUCUGGUCUGGAGUUUCUUCAUGUUUGUAAUAUUAGUUAGUUUGCAGAUUACUUUUGACUGCUAUGGCUGGUUCUACACCUGCAGAAUCAAGAUGACCAAUGGAAAAACUAAAACUUCCAAUGUUCGGAAGUUAGGGUUGGUUCAAAAUGCGUUUGGCAAGAAACCUGGUGGAGACCGUGGUGCCAUGAAAGCAAACAAAAGGACGGUCCAGAGAGUUGGUCGAGCAGUUUCAGCCUCCUCUGACGGUGGAAAUUACCAGCACUCUUUAGUGAUUUGAGAGAACGGAUGAUCCAGAGAAGACAACAGGGUCCUGCCUUCGGCUCCCUAGGAGCGGCCAAGCAACUUCAGCCUCCUGUGAAAAUUGAGAGGUAAGACCCUUUCUCAGUACUGCUUUUCAUGUCCUGCUGUGAAAGUCUAAUAAAAUGUUAGAAUGCCAGACGGUUGGUUGGUUAACUGCAUCUGCUGCUAAUAUAUACUGAACUAAUUCAGUUUUUAUCUGCGCUUUCCCAGUGUGUAAAAAGAUGCAUUCUUGUCAGUGUUUAAAUAUUUCUUGUUUGCUGAAGUACUGUUGUGCUACCACACAGGACGAUUCAGAGAACACUACAGGCUCCUGCUUCAGAGGCAUGCAGCUUUAGCCUCCUGUGGAAAUUGCCUUAUGCUCCUGCAAAAUUAGCGAUUUGACUAACUGGAUGAUAGAAUCCAACUCUCUACAGGCUUUGGCAAAAGGUAAGACCCUAAGUGUGGG